UACUGAAAAAUAAGUGAUUCAGUAGAUUUUUGGAGUGGUUGCCUUUAAAAGGGGCAUGCAUAUGCUUUUGUCCACCCUAUGAGUAGGUUUCCUCAGGAAGCUAAAGAAUGUAUUAUUUUCAAAUACUCAAUAUUCAUAACGAAAAUUUCACUUUCUUUUGGAUAUCUUAUUAAACUUUGUUUCUCAAUGCAUGUAAAUAGUUUAAAGACAUUAAUUUGUUGUGAAUAUUUAUCCGUUUAAGAGUAUUUCUUCAUUUUCUAAUAUAUCUGCUGAAUACUUGGAACAAGUGUGAAAGCUUCUUCGUGUUGUUCUUCCUGGUAAUCUUGUGGCUCUUCAGUUUUCAUUCAAAGAAUAAGGCUGAGCAGCACGGAAAUAAUCAGAAACUAUUCCAGAAAAAGAAUCAAGGUGAUCUUCUUCCAUGUUUCCUUUUUGAUCCUGUGUUUUCUCGAAUUAUUUCCUUUCAUUGUUCGCCUUUCCCGGAAAAGGUAAAUAUUCUCUUCUUUUUCUCGAUGUAGGUCUCUUUAGAUAAUUGUUUUUUUUUUGUUUUUAUUUUUUUUAUUUUUGGUCUUCCCCUGUUGACAAUUGAUUAUAUGGAUUCUUAUUACUUAAAUUUUAGAUGUGAAAAAAUUGAGCUUCACAUUCUAGGUAUUCUCAAAAUCCAGCAAGACAAAGGAAGUGAUUAGAUAAUUGGUAAGGUUCGGCUUCGACGGCUUCAAAUAGAGAACCCAGCAUUGAUAUCCUCCUGGGUUCCUGAAAGUGAAAGUUUCUCAAGAUGGGGAAAAAGGGACACGACUUCGACUCUAAGAGGUCAAGAAAGAGUUUCAUCCUGGAACAACCUACAUUUAUUAUCAACCAGAGCUUCUGGAUUUGUUACCAACUACAGCUGCUAAAAUUUACUUUCAAGGCCAUUGCACUAUAUUUCAUACAUAUCUUGGACCACCUAGAAUCUCUGCUGUUUUUGCCUUUCUGGCAAACCCCCUGUAUAACUUUGUUUCACAAAUGAUUUUAAUAUACCAAGAAGGAUACUAUAUUAAUAUUAGUUUAAUCAUGUCUCUUC
Lycium ferocissimum is the source of this 1057-nucleotide long non-coding RNA. RefSeq lists it as uncharacterized. The transcript is spliced from 3 exons. The record is from RefSeq and is a predicted model, not a curated record. NCBI's taxonomy places the organism in Eukaryota, Viridiplantae, Streptophyta, Magnoliopsida, Solanales, Solanaceae.